UCCUCCCCUGCUGCUUCCUGCUAGCUCGCAGUGUGAUUUUUACCUUCGAGAGCCGAGCGAGGCCCAGGGCGGCUCCAUGUUCCUGUCCUGUGUCCUGAUGCAUCCCCUGUGUGGGAAGUGUUUGCCCGUGGAGACACAGGCAGAAGGAGCUGACCAGUAUCAUCUCACCCUUGGCCGAUGUCUCAUGGUGCUGGAACCGUGGUGCAGGGUUUCCAAGCUCGGCCUGCUCACUGUCACAAGUGUGAGCCCUCACCCUCCUCCUCAGAGACAUGUGGCGGGGUCAGAUGUGACAACACAAACUCAAAGUAAAGCACCUAAAAUGGGCACAGUGGUACACGCCAGUAGUCCUAAUGCUCUGGGAGGGAGGCUGCGGCAGGAGAACCGCAAGUUGGAGUGCAUCCUGGACAACGGAGUGACUCAACAAGACCCCGGAUCAAAACAAAAAAAUUUAAAAAGGCUGGAGGUGUAGCCCAGUGCAAGUCCCCUGGGUUCAGGACCACACCCACAUGCACACACGUGUGCAUGUAUGCACACACACGCACACACCACGUAAAGAACCUCAAGGCUUCUGAAUGGCUCUGACCACACAGUUUGAAAGAAACUCAUCACCAGAUCUUUAAUUUGCAAACCUUCUGUUUCCGACCUGAUUCGUCUGAGGACACCACUGAGCUGGCGACUGGUGUCUGGUUUCAUUGUCUGGAGGGGGCAUGCACUGCGCGUCUGCCUGUGGUGCCCCCCAGGAGGUGGCACCUGAGAGAGGAGACACAGGCCUAGUCCCUCAGUGCUUAACUAAGACUCCACGCUCCACGGGUUCUCGUGUCUCUGUGCAGCACCCGCUUCAUGUCCGGGGGAAGAGGGCGGCCAGGAGAGCCUUAAGGUAGACUGCCCAGCGUCAGCCAAGACAGCGUCUGCAGGAACACCGACUGCUGGGGGGAAAGGGGGCACUCACAACGAGAGCCACAUCCAGCCCCGCUCAGCACCACCCCAGGUGAUGGACAUGCCACCCAGACUUAGAAAUCGGUGCUGCCACGUUGCUUAAACCCAUGCCAGGUGUGUGGGACUUGCCCCAGCCUCCAGACGACAAGUAAAACCCACAGUUUCCAACCUCAGGCGACUUAUUUAGAUGCAUGUAAGAAACCACUUUAACAUCCAUUUAUGAAAUCAUAUCAUGAAAUAAUCUAAUGAUAGUGGAUGCUUAUUUUAUUUUACCACAUAAAAUCCUUCAUAUUUUCUUCUAAUCGACAAGAAUAAUAUUCUAGCUUCAGGACUAAGUGCUUUCCUUUUUAGCAAAUACCUUUCCUUCAUUAAAUGCAUAUUUAAAAGUUA
Cavia porcellus (domestic guinea pig) is the source of this 1326-nucleotide long non-coding RNA. RefSeq lists it as uncharacterized. The transcript has 2 exons. The record is from RefSeq and is a predicted model, not a curated record. Lineage: Eukaryota; Metazoa; Chordata; Mammalia; Rodentia; Caviidae.